Molecule: ribosomal RNA, 376 nt
Filed under: uncultured eukaryote
Lineage: Eukaryota
Description: partial 18S ribosomal RNA
Rfam family: Eukaryotic small subunit ribosomal RNA
Source: RNAcentral
CAAUAGCGUAUAUUAAUGUUGUUGCAGUUAAAAAGCUCGUAGUUGGAUUUCUGAUGGGAGCCCUGGUCACUCUAACGAGUGUACUGAUGUGGCGUCCUGUCGUUUCAUGGGGAUGCUUGCUGGUAUUAAGUUAUCGGCUUGUGGAUCCAUGUCGUUUACUGUGAAAAAAUUAGAGUGUUCAAAGCAGGCCAUCGCUGUGAAUACAUUAGCAUGGAAUAAUAAGAUAGGACUGUGGUGCUAUUUUGUUGGUUUGCGUACUACGGUAAUGAUUAAUAGGGAUAGUUGGGGGUAUUCAUAUUCAAUUGUCAGAGGUGAAAUUCUUGGAUUUAUGGAAGAUGAACUACUGCGAAAGCAUUUACCAAGGAUGUUUUCAUUA